Molecule: ribosomal RNA, 1453 nt
Filed under: Vibrio renipiscarius
Lineage: Bacteria; Pseudomonadati; Pseudomonadota; Gammaproteobacteria; Vibrionales; Vibrionaceae
Description: bacterial LSU rRNA
Rfam family: Bacterial large subunit ribosomal RNA
Source: RNAcentral
GGCGGGUGGUUUAGGUAAAUCCGGACCGCUAUUCAACGCUGAGAUACGAUGUCGAGCUACUACGGUAGUGAAGUCAUUGAUGCCAUGCUUCCAGGAAAAGCCUCUAAGCUUCAGAUUAUAAGAAAUCGUACCCCAAACCGACACAGGUGGUCGGGUAGAGAAUACCAAGGCGCUUGAGAGAACUCGGGUGAAGGAACUAGGCAAAAUGGUACCGUAACUUCGGGAGAAGGUACGCUCUCGACGGUGAAGUCCCUCGCGGAUGGAGCUAUUGGGAGUCGCAGAUACCAGGUGGCUGCAACUGUUUAUUAAAAACACAGCACUGUGCAAAAUCGUAAGAUGACGUAUACGGUGUGACGCCUGCCCGGUGCCGGAAGGUUAAUUGAUGGGGUUAGACUUCGGUCGAAGCUCUUGAUCGAAGCCCCGGUAAACGGCGGCCGUAACUAUAACGGUCCUAAGGUAGCGAAAUUCCUUGUCGGGUAAGUUCCGACCUGCACGAAUGGCGUAAUGAUGGCCACGCUGUCUCCACCCGAGACUCAGUGAAAUUGAAAUCGCUGUGAAGAUGCAGUGUACCCGCGGCUAGACGGAAAGACCCCGUGAACCUUUACUACAGCUUGGCACUGAACAUUGACCCUACAUGUGUAGGAUAGGUGGGAGCCUUUGAAGCAAGUACGCCAGUAUUUGUGGAGGCAAUCUUGAAAUACCACCCUUGUAUGCUUGAUGUUCUAACGUUGGCCCCUUAUCGGGGUUACGGACAGUGCCUGGUGGGUAGUUUGACUGGGGCGGUCUCCUCCCAAAGAGUAACGGAGGAGCACGAAGGUGGGCUAAACACGGUUGGACAUCGUGUGGUUAGUGCAAUGGCAUAAGCCCGCUUAACUGCGAGAAUGACGGUUCGAGCAGGUACGAAAGUAGGUCAUAGUGAUCCGGUGGUUCUGUAUGGAAGGGCCAUCGCUCAACGGAUAAAAGGUACUCCGGGGAUAACAGGCUGAUACCGCCCAAGAGUUCAUAUCGACGGCGGUGUUUGGCACCUCGAUGUCGGCUCAUCACAUCCUGGGGCUGAAGUCGGUCCCAAGGGUAUGGCUGUUCGCCAUUUAAAGUGGUACGCGAGCUGGGUUUAGAACGUCGUGAGACAGUUCGGUCCCUAUCUGCCGUGGGCGUUGGAAAAUUGAAAGGGGCUGCUCCUAGUACGAGAGGACCGGAGUGGACGAACCUCUGGUGUUCGGGUUGUCACGCCAGUGGCAUUGCCCGGUAGCUAAGUUCGGAAUCGAUAAGCGCUGAAAGCAUCUAAGCGCGAAGCGAGCCUUGAGAUGAGUUUUCCCUGGCACUUUAAGUGCCCUAAAGGGUUGUUCGAGACUAGAACGUUGAUAGGCAGGGUGUGUAAGCGCUGUGAGGCGUUGAGCUAACCUGUACUAAUUGCCCGUGAGGCUUAACCAUACAACACCCAAGGGGUUUUGUA